This 514-nucleotide ribosomal RNA is filed under the name uncultured bacterium. RNAcentral describes it as "partial 16S ribosomal RNA". It matches the Rfam family "Bacterial small subunit ribosomal RNA", at positions 28 to 523 of the family's 1533-position model. The record is from RNAcentral.
GAUGAACGCUGGCGGCGUGCCUAAUACAUGCAAGUCGAGCGCGAAGAUCAGGAGCUUGCUCCUGAGAUUUGAGCGGCGGACGGGUGAGUAACACGUAGGCAACCUACCCUUGAGAUUGGGAUAACUACCGGAAACGGUAGCUAAUACCGGAUACGACUUUUCCACACAAGUGGAACUGUUAAAAGGCGGAUUUAUCUGCCGCUCAUGGAUGGGCCUGCGGUGCAUUAGCUAGUUGGUGAGAUAGUAGCUCACCAAGGCGACGAUGCAUAGCCGACCUGGGAGGGUGAUCGGCCACACUGGGACUGAGACACGGCCCAGACUCCUACGGGAGGCAGCAGUAGGGAAUCUUCCGCAAUGGACGAAAGUCUGACGGAGCAACGCCGCGUGAGUGAUGAAGGGUUUCGGCUCGUAAAACUCUGUUGUUAAGGAAGAACACUUGAGGUAGUAACUGGCCUUGAGAUGACGGUACUUAACCAGAAAGCCACGGCUAACUACGUGCCAGCAGCCGCCGUAA